UGGGGAAUAUUGGACAAUGGGCGAAAGCCUGAUCCAGCCAUGCCGCGUGUGUGAAGAAGGUCUUCGGAUUGUAAAGCACUUUAAGUUGGGAGGAAGGGCAGUAAGCGAAUACCUUGCUGUUUUGACGUUACCGACAGAAUAAGCACCGGCUAACUCUGUGCCAGCAGCCGCGGUAAUACAGAGGGUGCAAGCGUUAAUCGGAAUUACUGGGCGUAAAGCGCGCGUAGGUGGUUCGUUAAGUUGAAUGUGAAAGCCCCGGGCUCAACCUGGGAGCUGCAUCCAAAACUGGCGAGCUAGAGUAGGGCAGAAGGUGGUGGAAUUUCCUGUGUAGCGGUGAAAUGCGUAGAUAUAGGAAGGAACACCAGUGGCGAAGGCGACCACCUGGGCUCAUACUGACACUGAGGUGCGAAAGCGUGGGGAGCAAACAGG
RNAcentral lists this ribosomal RNA (429 nucleotides) under Pseudomonadota bacterium. RNAcentral describes it as "Proteobacteria bacterium partial 16S ribosomal RNA". It matches the Rfam family "Bacterial small subunit ribosomal RNA", at positions 355 to 776 of the family's 1533-position model. The record is from RNAcentral. Lineage: Bacteria; Pseudomonadati; Pseudomonadota.